GCCCCUCAUUAGAUUUAUGUGUUCCUACAACAAAAAGAAAUCUGCAUAUAUGAGAUGGAAGCAAAUAGGGAGGGUUUGCUGUCUGGUUUGCUGCCGCAAGUUGGCAUGGAGUUUAGUACUGUAGAAGAGGCUUGGAUGUUUGAACUAGCUAUGGAGGUCAAAAAAGAUAUGAGGUUAGAAAAAGGUUCUCAAAUAAAAGAAAGUCCGAUGGGAAGGUUAGGUUCUGCAGAUAUGUUUGUGCAAAUGAGAGCCAUAGAAAGGAAGAUAAAAGGGAUCAUCUAACAGAGUGUCCAAGAGCUGAAACUAUAAAAGGGAUCAUCUAACAGUUGACACUGAUGCUUUGCUAGAGAGCAAUACAACAUUCUGUGCUUUCCAGUGACAACUUGCAAUGUAUACAAUUUGCAGUAACAUUUGUGCAUUCCAGUGAUAAUUUUCAAGCCAUACAUUUUGCAGAA
Panicum virgatum (switchgrass) is the source of this 455-nucleotide long non-coding RNA. RefSeq lists it as uncharacterized. The record is from RefSeq and is a predicted model, not a curated record. The transcript has 2 exons. NCBI's taxonomy places the organism in Eukaryota, Viridiplantae, Streptophyta, Magnoliopsida, Poales, Poaceae.